This 73-nucleotide transfer RNA is filed under the name Stegodyphus mimosarum. It matches the Rfam family "tRNA". Rfam says of the family: Transfer RNA (tRNA) molecules are approximately 80 nucleotides in length. Their secondary structure includes four short double-helical elements and three loops (D, anti-codon, and T loops). Further hydrogen bonds mediate the characteristic L-shaped molecular structure. tRNAs have two regions of fundamental functional importance: the anti-codon, which is responsible for specific mRNA codon recognition, and the 3' end, to which the tRNAs corresponding amino acid is attached (by aminoacyl-tRNA synthetases). tRNAs cope with the degeneracy of the genetic code in two manners: having more than one tRNA (with a specific anti-codon) for a particular amino acid; and 'wobble' base-pairing, i.e. permitting non-standard base-pairing at the 3rd anti-codon position. The record is from Rfam by way of RNAcentral. Lineage: Eukaryota; Metazoa; Arthropoda; Arachnida; Araneae; Eresidae.
GCCUUCGUGGUGUAAUGGUCAGUACACUUAGCGCGUAUUCUAGAGGUCCGAGGUUCGAGUCCCGGCGAGGGCU